Non-coding RNA from Oryzias latipes (Japanese medaka), 1318 nucleotides. The record is from RefSeq and is a predicted model, not a curated record. NCBI's taxonomy places the organism in Eukaryota, Metazoa, Chordata, Actinopteri, Beloniformes, Adrianichthyidae.
UAGAAAUACACAAGAAACAUCUUUUUUUUUUUUUUUACUUUGAAGCUUGUUUUAUUAAAACACGCUCAAAACAUUGCCUUUCCUUCAUUUUGAUAUUUUCAAAAUAAAAGCAGAUCUUGAUAGUCGCACAACUUGUUAGGCCUAGUACUUCCCACUCAAGGGGGAGGGGCUUAUAGUUUGGUCGCCACUGCCUUUAUAAUACAUGUCCUUUAACAAAAGUGAGAAUAAGUUUCUGAAGUUCAGACAAUGUCAUUUACUUGCUUAGCCUAGUGUUGUUGUUAUUGUUGUUUUUUCUUGUAGCACUUUACUGCUUUCCUUGAAGGCCCAAAGCACUUUAUAGUCACUAUCCCAUUCACCCACACUCACAUUCCCACACUGAUGGCGGCUAUCCCAAACAAUGGCGCCAACAUAAAACCACCAGGAGCAAUGUGGAGUUCAGUGCCCAAGGACACUUCAACACAUGGGCGGGCGAGGCAGGAACCGAACCUGUCAUCUUCAAGGCAGAGGUCGACUGCACUACAUCCACACCACUGCCGUCACACACUUUAAGGAACACUUUAUGUGACAGACAGGGCUGUGGGUGGUAGUUUGUCCCUCAUGGUGUUCCAUAGAUGAACAUUCAUGGCCAGCACCUGUCUGUUGAGCUGUGAUUGGCUCACAAGGCUGAUAAAUAGCAGCUGUGGGAGUUCCAUCUAGAUGCUGGUUUCCUGGUUUGGCCUUGGUGGGUGAGCUUGACAUGUGGACCUUUUUUUUUUUUUUACUAAAGCUUUUAAUCAUUUGAGUCCUUUUACUAAAGUUUUUAGGCAUUUGAGUUUGCAAGAUUUUAAACUCUAUUUAUAUUAACAGGUGGUGGCAUGAGUUCUGACCCUGGGGCAUGAGAGGUAAUAUAAGGGUUUGUAAAACAUGUGUUUGUCCCAGGGGAGAACUAACUUAUUUUUCUUUUUCCAGCAGAGUUGCCACUGCUGUUUUGCUUAGUGUUUUUAGUCAUUGUUUUUAAUGUUUUAAUCAAGCUUGACACCCUUGCUUUUAUCCAUUUUUAAACUGUUUUGUGCUCAUUUUUAGUAUCUUGGUGUCUGGACCUGGCUGAGGGUGGCUGCCUCCUCCUUUUAUCCUUAUGGUAGCUGGUACUCCUGGUGUGAGUUGGAUCAGAGAUCUCCCUUGGUGGUGGUUGUGGCUACCCGCCAGUGCAGUGGGGCUGAGUCGAUCCAGGAGGCAGCCGCCCUCAUGCAGUGUUGGAGUGCGGUCCAACUGUCCGAGUCUAUUUUAACUUUCUCUUUUAUGGAAUUUGUGUCAAGUUUUUAAUAAAUUGUAUAUUUUU